GCACGGGGGCAACCCUGGUGGCGAGUGGCGAACGGGUGAGGAAUACAUCGGAACGUGUCUAUAAGUGGGGGAUAACGCAUCGAAAGGUGUGCUAAUACCGCAUAAUCUCUCAGGAGAAAAGCAGGGGAUCGUAAGACCUUGCGCUUUAGGAGCGGCCGAUGCCUGAUUAGCUUGUUGGUAAGGUAAAAGCUUACCAAGGCUUCGAUCAGUAGCUGGUCUGAGAGGACGACCAGCCACACUGGGACUGAGACACGGCCCAGACUCCUACGGGAGGCAGCAGUGGGGAAUUUUGGACAAUGGGGGAAACCCUGAUCCAGCCAUGCCGCGUGAGUGAAGAAGGCCUUCGGGUUGUAAAGCUCUUUCAGCCGGAACGAAACGGUUACGAUUAAUACUCGUAAUUAAUGACGGUACCGGCAGAAGAAGCACCGGCUAACUCCGUGCCAGCAGCCGCGGUAAUACGGAGGGUGCAAACGUUAAUCGGAAUUACUGGGCGUAAAGCGCGCGUAGGUGGUUUGUUAAGUGGGAUGUGAAAGCCCUAGGCUCAACCUAGGAAUUGCAUUCCAAACUGACAGACUAGAGUACGAUAGAGGGAGGUAGAAUUCAGAGUGUAGCGGUGAAAUGCGUAGAUAUUCUGAGGAAUACCGGUGGCGAAGGCGGCCUCCUGGAUUGAUACUGACACUGAGGUGCGAAAGCGUGGGGA
RNAcentral lists this ribosomal RNA (700 nucleotides) under uncultured bacterium. RNAcentral describes it as "bacterial SSU rRNA". It matches the Rfam family "Bacterial small subunit ribosomal RNA", at positions 71 to 767 of the family's 1533-position model. The record is from RNAcentral.